GGAGACCACUUCUACGGGAGGCAGCAGUGGGGAAUAUUGCACAAUGGGCGCAAGCCUGAUGCAGCCAUGCCGCGUGUAUGAAGAAGGCCUUCGGGUUGUAAAGUACUUUCAGCAGUGAGGAAGGUGGGUAUGUUAAUAGCAUACUCAUUUGACGUUAGCUGCAGAAGAAGCACCGGCUAACUCCGUGCCAGCAGCCGCGGUAAUACGGAGGGUGCGAGCGUUAAUCGGAAUUACUGGGCGUAAAGCGCAUGCAGGUGGUUUGUUAAGUCAGAUGUGAAAGCCCGGGGCUCAACCUCGGAAUUGCAUUUGAAACUGGCAAACUAGAGUACUGUAGAGGGGGGUAGAAUUUCAGGUGUAGCGGUGAAAUGCGUAGAGAUCUGAAGGAAUACCGGUGGCGAAGGCGGCCCCCCUGGACAGAUACUGACACUCAGAUGCGAAAGCGUGGGGAGCAAAACAGGAUUAGAUACCCUGGUAG
RNAcentral lists this ribosomal RNA (475 nucleotides) under uncultured bacterium. RNAcentral describes it as "bacterial SSU rRNA". It matches the Rfam family "Bacterial small subunit ribosomal RNA", at positions 328 to 793 of the family's 1533-position model. The record is from RNAcentral.